AUAUGUUUUAUUUUGAAAAUUGAAUGCAGUUAUUUAAAAAUAAUAUUUUAUAAUAACAUAAGAAAAGUUUAGGCUAUCAUAACAACAAACAAAUUCACAGAUGGUCAAUCUAAGUUUUAUUUAUUUUUUGCACGCAAGUCUCAAUUUAUUGAAUGAUUUAUUAUAUAUGUAUACACAAUAUCUAAUAUAUUGAAAAUAUAAGUUUAAAGUGGCCAUAGGUUGUACUUAUAUGUGAACCUUUUUUUAGAAACCAUACUAUGAAUACAUCCGUUGAAUUAUUUAAGUUUUGAAUUCCCAAUACGUAUCAUGGAAAUCAUAACAUGUUUUGACAAAAACGAAUAACGAGUGAAAUUAUAGAAAACAUUUAGAGUGAAAAAUGCAUAAAUCACGUAAUGCAAUUUUCAUAUUUUACCCCGACUUAGUUUCUAAAGUCUUAUAAUUUCUAUGCAAAUACAAUACAAAAAAAUCAAAACAAGGUAAAAAAAAAUCUUGAAAAAUAAGAUCCAGUUAUAUCUGUUAUAAUAUAUUGUAAAAAAAAAUUCAUAUGGCUUAACUUCCUGAUAGAUGCUAGACUUUUUAAGAAAACUUAUCGUAUUAAAAACAUAU
Long non-coding RNA from Aphis gossypii (cotton aphid), 606 nucleotides. RefSeq lists it as uncharacterized. The record is from RefSeq and is a predicted model, not a curated record. NCBI's taxonomy places the organism in Eukaryota, Metazoa, Arthropoda, Insecta, Hemiptera, Aphididae. The transcript is spliced from 3 exons.